CACAGUGUUAAACUGGUAAGAUCCCUGAAAGACGAUCAGGUUGAUAGGUCAGAGGUGGAAGCGCGGCGACGCGUGGAGCUGACUGAUACUAAUAGAUCGA
This 100-nucleotide non-coding RNA is filed under the name Bacillus sp. B-jedd. RNAcentral's name for it is "Bacterial large subunit ribosomal RNA". It matches the Rfam family "Bacterial large subunit ribosomal RNA", at positions 2815 to 2912 of the family's 2925-position model. Lineage: Bacteria; Bacillati; Bacillota; Bacilli; Caryophanales; Bacillaceae. The record is from Rfam by way of RNAcentral.